AGGUUUCCGGUAGUGAACCUGCGGAAGGAUCAUUACCGAAUUGUCAACCUGAGUUGUUGCUGGCCCUCAAAUGGGGGCAUGUGCACGCUCUGUUCGCACAUCCACUCACACCUGUGCACCCUCCGUAGUUCUGUGGCCUGGGGGCUCUGCCCUCCUGCUGUGGUUCUAUGUCUUUACACAUACACUCUGUAAUGAAGUCUCAUGGAAUGUAUGCCGCGUUUAACGCAAUACAAUACAACUUUCAGCAACGGAUCUCUUGGCUCUCGCAUCGAUGAAGAACGCAGCGAAAUGCGAUAAGUAAUGUGAAUUGCAGAAUUCAGUGAAUCAUCGAAUCUUUGAACGCACCUUGCGCCCUUUGGCCAUUCCGAAGGGCAUGCCUGUUUGAGUAUCAUGAACACCUCAACUCUCAUGGCUCGCCAUGAUGAGCUUGGAUUUGGGGGUCUUGCUGGCCUGUGGUCGGCUCCUCUCAAAUGGAUCAGCUUGCCAGUGUUUGGUGGCAUCACAGGUGUGAUAACUAUCUGCGCUUGUGGUUUUCCAUCAGAUAACCUUCAGUGAUGGAGGUUCGCUGGAGCUCAUAAACGUCUCCCCUAAGCGGGGACAGCCCUUUGAAUGUUUGAUCUCAAAUCAGGUAGGACUACCCGCUGAACUUAAGCAUAUCAAUAAGCGGAGGAAAAGAAACUAACAAGGAUUCCCCUAGUAACUGCGAGUGAAGCGGGAAGAGCUCAAAUUUAAAAUCUGGCGUGCCUCUGGUCGUCCGAGU
This 760-nucleotide ribosomal RNA is filed under the name uncultured Thelephoraceae. Its description in RNAcentral is "eukaryotic LSU rRNA". The stretch from base 237 to 391 matches the Rfam family "5.8S ribosomal RNA". Lineage: Eukaryota; Fungi; Basidiomycota; Agaricomycetes; Thelephorales; Thelephoraceae. The record is from RNAcentral.